Molecule: ribosomal RNA, 316 nt
Filed under: uncultured bacterium
Lineage: Bacteria
Description: bacterial SSU rRNA
Rfam family: Bacterial small subunit ribosomal RNA
Source: RNAcentral
GAACGAACGCUGGCGGCGUGCCUAACACAUGCAAGUCGAGCGAGAAAAGGGGGGCAACUCCCUGAGUACAGCGGCGCACGGGUGAGUAACACGUAGGUGAUCUCCCCUCGAGCCCGGAAUAACCUACCGAAAGGUGGGCUAAUACCGGAUAUGACCACGGAAGCCACGGCUUCUGCGGUGAAAGAUGGCCUCUACCUGUAAGCUAUCACUCAAGGAUGAGCCUGCGUGCCAUUAGCUAGUUGGCGAGGUAACGGCUCACCAAGGCAAUGAUGGCUAGCUGGUCUGAGAGGAUGACCAGCCACACUGGGACUGAAAC